Molecule: transfer RNA, 72 nt
Filed under: Arundo donax (giant reed)
Lineage: Eukaryota; Viridiplantae; Streptophyta; Magnoliopsida; Poales; Poaceae
Description: tRNA-Ile
Source: RNAcentral
CAAAUUAGUUGAUAGUGAUAGGAUCCCCUUUUUGACGCAUGGUAAGGGGGAAGAAGCACACUUGAAGAGCGC